AACGAACGCUGGCGGCAUGCCUAGCACAUGCAAGUCGAACGAGACCUUCGGGUCUAGUGGCGCACGGGUGCGUAACGCGUGGGAACCUUCCCUUAGGUUCGGAAUACCUCCCCGAAAGGGGUGCUAAUACCGGAUAAUGUCUUCGGACCAAAGAUUUAUCGCCUUUGGAUGGGCCCGCGUUGGAUUAGCUAGUUGGUAGGGUAAAAGCCUACCAAGGCGACGAUCCAUAGCUGGUCUGAGAGGAUGAUCAGCCACACUGGGACUGAGACACGGCCCAGACUCCUACGGGAGGCAGCAGUGGGGAAUAUUGGACGAUGGGCGAAAGCCUGAUCCAGCAAUGCCGCGUGAGUGAUGAAGGCCUUAGGGUUGUAAAGCUCUUUUAACCGGGAUGAUAAUGACAGUACCGGGAGAAUAAGCUCCGGCUAACUCCGUG
RNAcentral lists this ribosomal RNA (433 nucleotides) under uncultured bacterium. Its description in RNAcentral is "partial 16S ribosomal RNA". It matches the Rfam family "Bacterial small subunit ribosomal RNA", at positions 29 to 507 of the family's 1533-position model. The record is from RNAcentral.